RNAcentral lists this long non-coding RNA (490 nucleotides) under Citrus sinensis (sweet orange). RNAcentral describes it as "long non-coding RNA (CSIN_LNC005756)". The record is from RNAcentral. Lineage: Eukaryota; Viridiplantae; Streptophyta; Magnoliopsida; Sapindales; Rutaceae.
UAUUAAUUUAUGUUAAAACAACCUUAUUGAUCAAAUAUAAUAAAAAAAAGUCUCAUAAAAAAAUAAUUAAUGAAUAUGGAUUUAAUUGGUUAAAUUGUUAAAUUUCUUCUUAAUUUGAAUUUUUAAAAAGUAAUGUGUACUUAUUGUAACAUUUUUUUAAAAUCGGGGUGGAUUAAUAAAAAUUUUGGGGUGGAAAUAUCACCACCUAUGGUAAAUAUACUCAUUCAAGUAGUCAAGCCUACAGUUAAGAUAAAUAGAUAACAGAUUAAUGAUUGUAGUUUAAUUAUGCGAACGUGACAUACAUAUCUAUCAUAAAUUAUCAUGAAAUGUGGUAAAGCUUCAAUUCUUUUGAAACAUGAUAAAUAUAUAUAAUUAAAUUAUAACUGCUAAUCCGUUAUCUAUUUAUCUUCAUUGUCGGCUUGACUACCUUAGUUUUCUUAAAAAUUGGGAAAAAAAAGUUAUUGUUUGUGGGGAAAAGGACAUCCACACC